AGACCAGUCCAAACCAGUUCAGACCAGUUCAAACCGGAGCCAGCUGAAAUGUGGGAUUAUAAAUGGAUCCCAAAAAUCCCCAAAAUCCCGGAGCAAUUCCCUUCUUUUCUUGUGUGAUUGGAGUAAAAUGGGAGCUGAUCCCAGUUCAGACCAGUCCAAACCAGUUCAGACCAGUUCAGACCAGUCCAGACCAGUUCAGACCAGUUCAAACCGUUUCAAACCAGUUCAGGUUCCUGGGAUAACGAACAGGAAGAGCCCAAUCCCAAGAAUCCCCCAAAUCCUGGAGCAAACUGGGAUUUUCUGGGUCAAACUGGGAGUUCAAACCACUCUAGACCAGUUUAAACCAGUUCAAACCAGUUCAGAUCAGUCCAGACUUCUGGGAUAACAAACAGGAAGAGCCCAAUCCCAAAAAUCCCCCAAAUCCUGGAUCAAACUGGGAUUUAUUGGCUCAAACUGGGAUUUAUUGGAUCAAACUGGGAUUUAUUGGAUCAAACUGGGAUUUAUUGGGUCAAACUGGGAUUUAUUGGGUCAAACUGGGAUUUAUUGG
This 547-nucleotide long non-coding RNA is filed under the name Parus major (Great Tit). RNAcentral's name for it is "lncRNA (ENSPMJG00000004244.1)". Lineage: Eukaryota; Metazoa; Chordata; Aves; Passeriformes; Paridae. The record is from RNAcentral.